This 344-nucleotide ribosomal RNA is filed under the name uncultured soil bacterium. RNAcentral describes it as "bacterial SSU rRNA". It matches the Rfam family "Bacterial small subunit ribosomal RNA", at positions 26 to 371 of the family's 1533-position model. The record is from RNAcentral.
AGAUUGAACGCUGGCGGCAGGCCUAACACAUGCAAGUCGAGCGGUAGAGAGGUGCUUGCACCUCUUGAGAGCGGCGGACGGGUGAGUAAAGCCUAGGAAUCUGCCUGGUAGUGGGGGAUAACGCUCGGAAACGGACGCUAAUACCGCAUACGUCCUACGGGAGAAAGCAGGGGACCUUCGGGCCUUGCGCUAUCAGAUGAGCCUAGGUCGGAUUAGCUUAGUUGGUGAGGUAAUGGCUCACCAAGGCGACGAUCCGUAACUGGUCUGAGAGGAUGAUCAGUCACACUGGAACUGAGACACGGUCCAGACUCCUACGGGAGGCAGCAGUGGGGAAUAUUGGACAA